CGCGAGAGAAUAAAUGAAUAAUGAUAUGGAUGGAAGGUUGACGCGUGGCUAAGGAAGCUGACGCUGUGCGAUGAAGCUGACGCUCGAGAAAAAGAAAACAGCGUUGUGGAGGUAACGGAAAAUGUUUCGUUGACACCCUUCAUUUAACACACUUUUGACACACGCCACAUGGCCUCGUUCGGUUGGUUGUUUGGGUGAAAAAACUCAACUCUUUUUUAAAUGAUCCGGAGGGUAAUUUUGGAAAACGAAAUGUUUGAAAUUUAAUUUUCGCAGUUUCAUUUUUAUCCUUCGUUCAAUUUGGCUUGGGUCUGUCCCCUCCUCUCUCCAUUGGCCUCCUCCUCUCUCCAUUGGCCUCCUUCUUUCUCCAUUCGCUUCAUCUCUCACAUUGCUCCCUAACGCGCUUCAGCUCUCUUUCUCGUUUUGGGUUUGUUUGGCGUUGUUGCUAUGUUUCGUUUUGGGUUUGGGUGUCUUUCGCUUUUUCACUAAGUUCUUUUCUCGUUUUGGGUUUGUUUAGUGUUGUGGCUUUGUUUCGUUUUGGGUUUGGGUGUCUUUCGCGUUGUCGCUCUCUUUCUCAUUGUCUCGCUUCUCGAACACUAGUGUAUUUUUGUUGUCUUUAUUGUUUUUGUGUUUUGUGAACCCUAAUCCACUUCCAUUGAUUUAUUUGUAUGAAAUAUGUGCAGUUGCAAUGGCGUCAACAUACAGUGGUCCAUGAUAAUGAACAAAGAAUAAGAUAUCAGUCUCUGUCCUCCUUUGGUUAUGUGGAGAAUGAAGAGGGAGUAUGGGUUCCGAAAGGGACACAACCAAUGAACAACAUCAACGUACAGUGGUCCAUGACAUUGAACAACCAAUGUUUCCUGUAUUAUAUUUGAUAAAAUCUUAAGUAGUGAAAUAAAGUCGUAAUUAAUAGACAGUAAAACACUAGAUAAUCACCUACAACGUUCAAAACAGACUGCUAUUCACCAGUGGUCCUCCACGUUUUCACUGGUGGCUCCUUCUAUUCAACAGGAUGUGCAGAAUCCAAAUCAGAUACGCGUAAUCAAUUACAAACCCUUGUAAACUAUUACAAUGCAAUUUUUUCCACCAGACAUGGCAAAACUUCACUUAACACAAUAAUAUCUCAAUGGGAGGUCCCCACCUCCAACUUGGGGGACCCAAAACAUUAAGAUGCAGUCAUUCCUUACUAAAGAACAUAAAAUUACAACUAAAAGAACUGGACUUGGGUCAAAACACACUACUAUUAACCAGUGGUCCCCCACGUGAUCACCGGUGGCUCCUUCAGUUCAACAGGAUGUGCAGAAUCCAAUUCAGACAUGUGUAAUCGUUUACAACCCCUUGUAAUUGAUUACAAUGCAGUUUUUUGCACCAGACAUGACAAAACUUCACUUAACACUAUAAUCUCUCAAUGGGUGGUCCCCACCUCCAUCUUGGGGGACCCAAAACAUUAAGAUGUAGUUGUUCCUCACUAAAGAACAUAAAAUUACAACUAAAAUAACUGGACUUAGGUCUAAAGACACUGUUAUUCACCAGUGGUCCCCCACGUGUUCACUGGUGGCUCCUUCAGUUCAACAGGAUGUGCAGAAUCUAAUUCAGACACGCGUAAUCGUUUAUAACCCCUUGUAAUCGAUUACAAUGCAGUUUUUUGCACCAGACAUGGCAAAACUUCACUUAACACUAUAAUCUCUCAAUGGGUGGUCCCCACCUCCAUCUUGGGGGACCCAAAACAUUAAGAUGCAGCCAUUCCUCACUAAAGAACAUAAAAUUACAACUAAAAGAACUGGAUUUGGGUCAAAAGACACUACUAUUCACCAGUGGUCCCCCACGUGUUCACUGGUGGAUCCUUCAGUUCAACAGGAUGUGCAGAAACCAAUUCAGACACGCGUAAUCGUUUACAACCCCUUGUAAUCGAUUACAAUGCAAUUUUUUUCACCAGACAUGGCAGAACUUCACUUAACAUUAUAAUCUCUCAAUGGGUGGUCCCCACCUCCAUCUUUGGGGACCCAAAACAUUAAGAUGCAACCAUUCCUCACUAAAGAAUAGAAAAUUACAACUAAAAGAACUGGACUUGGGUCAAAAGACACUGCUAUUCACCAGUGGUCCCCCACGUGUUCACUGGUGGCUCCUUCAGUUCAACAGGAUGUGUAGAAUCCAAUUCAGACACGCGUAAUCGUUUACAACCCCUUGUAAUUGAUUACAAUGCAGUUUUUUGCACCAGACAUGGCGGAACUUCAGUUGUGGUCCCUUAUGUUUUCAUUGGUGCCUCAUCAUGUUCAACAGGUUGUUAAAAAUUGAAAUUACAACACAAUAGUAAACAAUUACAACACACAAUUUAGCAUCAUCAUCUUCACCAAUUCAGUCAAAUUCAUCAUAUCACUAACAUUAUCACUUCCAAAAAAUGGAUUCUUCAAAAUUUAAAAUGUACACCAAAUCAAAAUAUAAACCACUUCAAUAACAUAAAUACAUGUAACCAAACAUUCAUCUACUAUAUAUUGCAAGAUAUAGGUUUAAUUACAACAUCAAGUUCUUAUCCUAUUCAACAUCAAGUUCUUGUCCUAUUCAAAAUACCAUACAAUAAUCACUAAUUUUUCUUUCUAGGUCCUACAAUUCCUGUGUAUGGUGUCCUCAAGGCUUGGCUCUUAUAACGCAUUCUUCUUCCCAUCCUCACAUAGGUCUUCAAUUGUGGUUCGGUGUUGCACAUUACAUCCGGUGUGUUCUGCGACAUUCCACCAUGUUCGGUCUGAGAAAUAAUAACGAACCAUUGCUCAUCCGUCAAGUACUCGUUCAAAGUGCAAACAUACAUCGUUGAAAAAUAAUGACGAACCGUCAACUGCUCAACCAAAAACAAAACAAAUGUAAACACAAAAGGAAAUAACAAAAAAACCCAAAAACUAAGAACCAAGAACCGAAUACUCAAACCAAAAACCAAAUACCCUAACCACAACAUCAACGAAAACCGACAACAAGAACGCAACAACGCAAGAACCCAAGAACCCAAACCCAAAACCAUAUCAGACCCAACAACGCAUUUACCUUGCUCCAACGAAGCUUUUGUUUGUGACUUCCCAUCUCCACCAAUCACCGAGAACGGAGAACCACUAACCAACAGUCAAACAGAGGAAGCAGGGGGAGAACGACGUAGGGGACAACAAAAUGUGAGAGAGAAAACGAAAUCUGAGACAAAAACAGGCAAAGGGUAUAUUUGGAAAGGAAAAUUUUUCAAACUCUUUUCGUUUUGGUGCCCAAAUUUUUGGAAAAAAAAAAUAAAAUAACCCAACCAAUGACAACUUGACACGUGUGUGUGUCAAAAGUGUGUCAAAAAAGUUGUGUUAAAAUAACGGGAUCCGGAGGUAACGGUGUCUGAUGAGAGAGAAGCACGUGAUUUGGAGAAAUGAAACUGAGAGAGUGUGCUUAGAAGGUGUCUAGUCCGUGUCUUUAGAGAAUUGAUUUUGGUCAUAGAAAAUUCAAUUCU
This 3466-nucleotide long non-coding RNA is filed under the name Vigna radiata. RNAcentral describes it as "long non-coding RNA (VRAD_LNC007969)". Lineage: Eukaryota; Viridiplantae; Streptophyta; Magnoliopsida; Fabales; Fabaceae. The record is from RNAcentral.